GACGAACGCUGGCGGCGUGCUUAACACAUGCAAGUCGAGCGGUAAGGCCCUUUCGGGGUACACGAGCGGCGAACGGGUGAGUAACACGUGGGUGACCUGCCUUUAGCUCUGGGAUAAGCCUGGGAAACUGGGUCUAAUACCGGAUAUGACCCUAUGGCGCAUGUUGUGGGGUGGAAAGCCUUGUGCGGCUAGGGAUGGGCCCGCGGCCUAUCAGCUUGUUGGUGGGGUGAUGGCCUACCAAGGCGACGACGGGUAGCCGGCCUGAGAGGGCGACCGGCCACACUGGGACUGAGACACGGCCCAGACUCCUACGGGAGGGCAGCAGUGGGGAAUCUUGCGCAAUGGGCGGAAAGCCUGACGCAGCGACGCCGCGUGAGGGAUGACGGCCUCGGUUGUAA
RNAcentral lists this ribosomal RNA (398 nucleotides) under uncultured bacterium. RNAcentral's name for it is "bacterial SSU rRNA". It matches the Rfam family "Bacterial small subunit ribosomal RNA", at positions 28 to 428 of the family's 1533-position model. The record is from RNAcentral.